Molecule: unclassified non-coding RNA, 244 nt
Filed under: uncultured Sclerotiniaceae
Lineage: Eukaryota; Fungi; Ascomycota; Leotiomycetes; Helotiales; Sclerotiniaceae
Description: sequence contains 5.8S rRNA gene
Rfam family: 5.8S ribosomal RNA (bases 1-53)
Source: RNAcentral
GAACGCACAUUGCGCCCCUUGGUAUUCCGGGGGGCAUGCCUGUUCGAGCGUCAUUUCAACCCUCAAGCACUGCUUGGUAUUGAGCCCUAUGUCAGAAAUGGCAGGCUCUAAAAUCAGUGGCGGCGCCGCUGGGUCCUGAACGUAGUAAUAUCUCUCGUUACAGGCUCUCAGUGUGCUUCUGCCAAAACCCCAAAUUUUUUUAUGGUUGACCUCGGAUCAGGUAGGGAUACCCGCUGAACUUAAG